This 716-nucleotide ribosomal RNA is filed under the name uncultured bacterium. Its description in RNAcentral is "bacterial SSU rRNA". It matches the Rfam family "Bacterial small subunit ribosomal RNA", at positions 771 to 1501 of the family's 1533-position model. The record is from RNAcentral.
AACAGGAUUAGAUACCCUGGUAGUCCACGCCGUAAACGAUGGAUACUAGCUGUUUGGUAGCAAUACUGAGUGGCUAAGCGAAAGUGAUAAGUAUCCCACCUGGGGAGUACGAACGCAAGUUUGAAACUCAAAGGAAUUGACGGGGGCCCGCACAAGCGGUGGAGCAUGUGGUUUAAUUCGAUGAUACGCGAGGAACCUUACCAGGGCUUAAAUGUAGUGGGACAGGCUUGGAAACAGGCCCUUCUUCGGACUCAUUACAAGGUGCUGCAUGGUUGUCGUCAGCUCGUGCCGUGAGGUGUCAGGUUAAGUCCUAUAACGAGCGCAACCCCUGUUGUUAGUUGCCAGCGAGUCAUGUCGGGAACUCUAACAAGACUGCCGGUGCAAACCGUGAGGAAGGUGGGGAUGACGUCAAAUCAUCACGGCCCUUACGUCCUGGGCUACACACGUGCUACAAUGGCCGGUACAGAGAGCAGCCACUGGGCGACCAGGAGCGAAUCUAUAAAACCGGUCACAGUUCGGAUUGGAGUCUGCAACCCGACUCCAUGAAGCUGGAAUCGCUAGUAAUCGGAUAUCAGCCAUGAUCCGGUGAAUACGUUCCCGGGCCUUGUACACACCGCCCGUCAAACCAUGGAAGCUGGGGGUACCUGAAGUCGGUGACCGCAAGGAGCUGCCUAGGGUAAAACUGGUAACUGGGGCUAAGUCGUAACAAGGUAACC